Molecule: ribosomal RNA, 460 nt
Filed under: uncultured bacterium
Lineage: Bacteria
Description: partial 16S ribosomal RNA
Rfam family: Bacterial small subunit ribosomal RNA
Source: RNAcentral
CCUACGGGAGGCAGCAGUGAGGAAUAUUGGUCAAUGGGCGCGAGCCUGAACCAGCCAAGUAGCGUGAAGGAUGACUGCCCUACGGGUUGUAAACUUCUUUUAUAAAGGAAUAAAGUGAGGCACGUGUGCCUUUUUGUAUGUACUUUAUGAAUAAGGAUCGGCUAACUCCGUGCCAGCAGCCGCGGUAAUACGGAGGAUCCGAGCGUUAUCCGGAUUUAUUGGGUUUAAAGGGAGCGUAGGUGGGCUGUUAAGUUAGAUGUGAAAUCUGGCGGCUCAACCGUGGAAUUGCAAUUGAUACUGGCAGGCUUGAGUGUAGUUGAGGUAGGCGGAAUGCGUGGUGUAGCGGUGAAAUGCUUAGAUAUCAUGAAGAACUCCGAUUGCGAAGGCAGCCUACUAAGCUGCCACUGACGUUGAGGCUCGAAAGUGUGGGGAGCAAACAGGAUUAGAUACCCGAGUAGUC